UAAAGUGCGAUAUGUAGUGCGAUUUGCAUGAAUCUGUGAGUCAUCUAAUCUUUGAACGCAACUUGCGCCUCUCUGAGGCAUGUCUGUUUGAGUGCCGCAUACUAUAAUGCAGCAAUGCGAUUUGAUCCAUGUCGGCGACUAUCACAGGCGACGACUGGGCCUAAAUGUAGCCAGAUAAUGGUCUGUGAGGACUAGCCCGAGUGCUAAGCAUUCUUGGUUCUAGGCCCCGCCUGCCACAAUCUAUCUAUCUAAUUGGCCUCAAAUCAGGCAAGACUACCCGCUGAACUUAA
Molecule: unclassified non-coding RNA, 290 nt
Filed under: uncultured fungus
Lineage: Eukaryota; Fungi
Description: sequence contains ITS1
Rfam family: 5.8S ribosomal RNA (bases 1-97)
Source: RNAcentral